Molecule: ribosomal RNA, 253 nt
Filed under: uncultured bacterium
Lineage: Bacteria
Description: partial 16S ribosomal RNA
Rfam family: Bacterial small subunit ribosomal RNA
Source: RNAcentral
UACGAAGGGGGCUAGCGUUGCUCGGAAUUACUGGGCGUAAAGCGCACGUAGGCGGGUUCUUAAGUCGGUGGUGAAAUCCUGGAGCUCAACUCCAGAACUGCCUUCGAUACUGGGAAUCUUGAGUCCGGGAGAGGUGAGUGGAACUGCGAGUGUAGAGGUGAAAUUCGUAGAGAUCGGGAGGAACACCAGUGGCGAAGGCGGCUACCUGGACCAGCACUGACACUGAGGCACGAAAGCGUGGGGAGCAAACAGG